RNAcentral lists this ribosomal RNA (497 nucleotides) under uncultured bacterium. RNAcentral describes it as "partial 16S ribosomal RNA". It matches the Rfam family "Bacterial small subunit ribosomal RNA", at positions 28 to 507 of the family's 1533-position model. The record is from RNAcentral.
GAUGAACGCUGGCGGCGUGCCUAAUACAUGCAAGUCGAGCGAACAGACGAGGAGCUUGCUCCUCUGACGUUAGCGGCGGACGGGUGAGUAACACGUGGAUAACCUACCUAUAAGACUGGGAUAACUUCGGGAAACCGGAGCUAAUACCGGAUAAUAUAUUGAACCGCAUGGUUCAAUAGUGAAAGACGGUUUUGCUGUGACUUAUAGAUGGAUCCGCGCCGCAUUAGCUAGUUGGUAAGGUAACGGCUUACCAAGGCGACGAUGCGUAGCCGACCUGAGAGGGGGAUCGGCCACACUGGAACUGAGACACGGUACAGACUCCUACGGGAGGCAGCAGUAGGGAAUCUUCCGCAAUGGGCGAAAGCCUGACGGAGCAACGCCGCGCGAGGGAUGAAGGUCUUCGGAUCGUAAAACUCUGUUAUUAGGGAAGAACAAAUGUGUAAGUAACUAUGCACGUCUUGACGGUACCUAAUCAGAAAGCCACGGCUAACUACGUG